Molecule: long non-coding RNA, 809 nt
Organism: Sorghum bicolor (sorghum)
Lineage: Eukaryota; Viridiplantae; Streptophyta; Magnoliopsida; Poales; Poaceae
Exons: 2
Source: RefSeq, a predicted model, not a curated record
GCGGCGCCCCCUCCUCCAUGCCCUUCGAUCUGGCGACGAGCCGCACCAGGGGCUGUGGCGGCGGGGCUUCCCUCUCCCGGCUGCAGCUGCGGUGGCUUCCUCAUCUCCCCUGAUGGCAUCCACUUGAAGGAACUGGCAUCCGGCGGCUCCAUCCCUGCCGAGCAGUUCCGUGCCUUGUGCUGGCCGCAUGCGUCGUCUCUGUCCUAGUAGCAUGCUUGGUCCGGGUCGCGUAGUUGCCGAGCCAAAAGCAUGCUUUGUGUGGCAGCACUGCCGCUGAGACAACGUCGAUGGAAUUAAGUUUGGUUGAGACAGUUGCGAACCUACGUUUUCUGAACUGAUGGCAGCCAACAAAGUGGAUAAUUAGCAUUGGAAUACCUGAUGAAGUGAACUUGCUAUGUAGAGUAUGAAGUAUGUGUACAUACAGUAUAUAAUAUUUGUAUAUACUUAGAAUAUGAAGUAUGUGUACAUACUUAUAUAUAUAAAGUACGAACUUUGAUUAUUUCCUUUCGGAUGACUAGGAACAAUAUUCUUACUAUAAUCUGAUCAAAGAAUAGUACAUCAAUCGUCCAGGAGAGGAUCUGCAUCAGUGUAAUCACGCUACUUCUUUCUUUUAUCUAUAGAUAGAUGAGAGUAUCAUCUGAUACUCUUUUUUAGAUGAGAUCAAAACAUCAAUUGAUAACUUUUAGAUUUGAAUAUCCUCAUAUACUUCCUUUGUUACACUGAGCUAUCACUUCAUACUUUCUGGGAUAUGUUUGUACCACUAGAUACUUUUUUAGAUUAUAAUUGCGGCACUUCUACAUUGUUCUAUA